RNAcentral lists this ribosomal RNA (468 nucleotides) under uncultured bacterium. RNAcentral describes it as "bacterial SSU rRNA". It matches the Rfam family "Bacterial small subunit ribosomal RNA", at positions 335 to 798 of the family's 1533-position model. The record is from RNAcentral.
ACUCCUACGGGAGGCAGCAGUGGGGAAUAUUGGUCAAUGGUCGCAAGACUGAACCAGCCAUGCCGCGUGCAGGAAGACGGUCCUAUGGAUUGUAAACUGCUUUUAUACAGGAAGAAACCCUCCCACGUGUGGGAGCUUGACGGUACUGUAGGGAUAAGGAUCGGCUAACUCCGUGCCAGCAGCCGCGGUAAUACGGAGGAUCCAAGCGUUAUCCGGAAUCAUUGGGUUUAAAGGGUCCGUAGGCGGCCUUAUAAGUCAGUGGUGAAAGCCCAUCGCUCAACGAUGGAACUGCCAUUGAUACUGUAAGGCUUGAAUUAUUGUGAAGUAACUAGAAUAUGUAGUGUAGCGGUGAAAUGCUUAGAUAUUACAUGGAAUACCAAUUGCGAAGGCAGGUUACUAACAAUGGAUUGACGCUGAUGGACGAAAGCGUGGGGAGCGAACAGGAUUAGAUACCCUGGUAGCGACUGA